RNAcentral lists this ribosomal RNA (377 nucleotides) under uncultured delta proteobacterium. Its description in RNAcentral is "bacterial SSU rRNA". It matches the Rfam family "Bacterial small subunit ribosomal RNA", at positions 521 to 896 of the family's 1533-position model. Lineage: Bacteria; Deltaproteobacteria. The record is from RNAcentral.
UAAUACGGAGGGUGCAAGCGUUGUUCGGAAUUAUUGGGCGUAAAGAGCAUGUAGGCGGUUCGUCAAGUCUGAUGUGAAAGCCCGGGGCUCAACCCCGGAAGUGCAUUGGAAACUGACGAACUUGAGUACGGGAGAGGAAAGUGGAAUUUCGAGUGUAGGGGUGAAAUCCGUAGAUAUUCGAAGGAACACCAGUGGCGAAGGCGGCUUUCUGGACCGAUACUGACGCUGAGAUGCGAAAGCGUGGGGAGCAAACAGGAUUAGAUACCCUGGUAGUCCACGCCGUAAACGAUGGGUACUAGGUGUUGCGGGUAUUGACCCCUGCAGUGCCAAAGCUAACGCAUUAAGUACCCCGCCUGGGGAGUACGGCCGCAAGGCUA